AUGAGUUAAGUAUAAACCCCUUUACAAGUAUCAAUUGGAGGGCAAGUCUGGAGCCAGCAGCCGCGGUAAUUCCAGCUCCAAUAGCGUAUAUUAAAGUUGUUGCAGUUAAAAAGCUCGUAGUUGGAUUUCUGUUAAUAAUUUAUAUAUAAUAUUUUAUGAUAUUUAUAUAAUAUUAACAUAAUUCAUAUUACUAUAUUUAUUAGUAUAUGAAAUUUUACUUUGAGAAAAUUAGAGUGCUUAAAGCAGGCGUUUGCCUUGAAUACUCCAGCAUGGAAUAAUAUAAAAGAUUUUUAUCUUUUUUAUUGGUUCUAAGAUAAAAAUAAUGAUUAAUAGGGACAGUUGGGGGCAUUUGUAUUUAACAGUCAGAGGUGAAAUUCUUAGAUUUGUUAAAGACAAACUAGUGCGAAAGCAUUUGCCAAGGAUGUUUUCAUUAAUCAAGAACGAAAGUUAGGGGAUCGAAGACGAUCAGAUACCGUCGUAGU
Molecule: ribosomal RNA, 482 nt
Filed under: Cryptosporidium microti
Lineage: Eukaryota; Apicomplexa; Conoidasida; Eucoccidiorida; Cryptosporidiidae
Description: SSU rRNA
Rfam family: Eukaryotic small subunit ribosomal RNA
Source: RNAcentral